UGAGGCAGGAGAAUUGCUUGAACCCAGGAGGUGGAGGUUGCAGUGAGCCGAGAUCAUGCCACUGUACUCCAGCCUGGGUGACAGAGUGAGACUCCAUCUC
Molecule: microRNA precursor, 100 nt
Organism: Macaca nemestrina (pig-tailed macaque)
Lineage: Eukaryota; Metazoa; Chordata; Mammalia; Primates; Cercopithecidae
Source: Ensembl